This 587-nucleotide ribosomal RNA is filed under the name uncultured bacterium. Its description in RNAcentral is "bacterial SSU rRNA". It matches the Rfam family "Bacterial small subunit ribosomal RNA", at positions 258 to 842 of the family's 1533-position model. The record is from RNAcentral.
UAACGGCCCACCAAGGCGACGAUGCGUAGGGGUUCUGAGAGGAAGGUCCCCCACACUGGUACUGAGACACGGACCAGACUCCUACGGGAGGCAGCAGUGAGGAAUAUUGGUCAAUGGGCGCGAGCCUGAACCAGCCAAGUCGCGUGAGGGAAGACGGUCCUAUGGAUUGUAAACCUCUUUUGUCGGGGAGCAAAAGACGCCACGUGUGGCGUUCCGAGAGUACCCGAAGAAAAAGCAUCGGCUAACUCCGUGCCAGCAGCCGCGGUAAUACGGAGGAUGCGAGCGUUAUCCGGAUUUAUUGGGUUUAAAGGGUGCGCAGGCGGAAGAUCAAGUCAGCGGUAAAAUUGAGAGGCUCAACCUCUUCGAGCCGUUGAAACUGGUUUUCUUGAGUGAGCGAGAAGUAUGCGGAAUGCGUGGUGUAGCGGUGAAACGCAUAGAUAUCACGCAGAACUCCGAUUGCGAAGGCAGCAUACCGGCGCUCAACUGACGCUCAUGCACGAAAGUGUGGGUAUCGAACAGGAUUAGAUACCCUGGUAGUCCACACAGUAAACGAUGAAUACUAAUUGUUCGGGGAGAAUGAUCCCUGA